Molecule: ribosomal RNA, 253 nt
Filed under: uncultured bacterium
Lineage: Bacteria
Description: partial 16S ribosomal RNA
Rfam family: Bacterial small subunit ribosomal RNA
Source: RNAcentral
GACGUAGGGGCCGAGCGUUGUCCGGAAUUACUGGGCGUAAAGCGCGCGCAGGCGGAUUGUCGCAUCAUCGGUGAAAGCCCCCCGCUCAACGGGGGAGGGUCCGGUGCGAUGGGCAGUCUGGAGGCAGGGAGAGGCGAGUGGAAUUCCGGGAGUAGUGGUGAAAUGCGUAGAGAUCCGGAGGAACACCAGUGGCGAAGGCGGCUCGCUGGACCUGACCUGACGCUGAGGCGCGAAGGCGUGGGGAGCGAACGGG